This 85-nucleotide transfer RNA is filed under the name Phacotus lenticularis. RNAcentral's name for it is "tRNA-Leu". It matches the Rfam family "tRNA". From Rfam's summary of the family: Transfer RNA (tRNA) molecules are approximately 80 nucleotides in length. Lineage: Eukaryota; Viridiplantae; Chlorophyta; Chlorophyceae; Chlamydomonadales; Phacotaceae. The record is from RNAcentral.
GGGGAUAUGGCGGAAUGGUAGACGCUACGGACUUAAAAUCCGUUCAACUCCCAAGUUGGUGAGGGUUCAAGUCCCUCUAUCCCCA